RNAcentral lists this ribosomal RNA (640 nucleotides) under uncultured bacterium. Its description in RNAcentral is "bacterial SSU rRNA". It matches the Rfam family "Bacterial small subunit ribosomal RNA", at positions 338 to 1246 of the family's 1533-position model. The record is from RNAcentral.
CCUACGGGAGGCAGCAGUGGGGAAUUUUGGACAAUGGGCGAAAGCCUGAUCCAGCAAUGCCGCGUGAGUGAAGAAGGCCUUCGGGUUGUAAAGCUCUUUUGUCAGGGAAGAAACGGUGAGAGCUAAUAUCUCUUGCUAAUGACGGUACCUGAAGAAUAAGCACCGGCUAACUACGUGCCAGCAGCCGCGGUAAUACGUAGGGUGCAAGCGUUAAUCGGAAUUACUGGGCGUAAAGCGUGCGCAGGCGGUUUUGUAAGUCUGAUGUGAAAUCCCCGGGCUCAACCUGGGAAUUGCAUUGGAGACUGCAAGGCUAGAAUCUGGCAGAGGGGGGUAGAAUUCCACGUGUAGCAGUGAAAUGCGUAGAUAUGUGGAGGAACACCGAUGGCGAAGGCAGCCCCCUGGGUCAAGAUUGACGCUCAUGCACGAAAGCGUGGGGAGCAAACAGGAUUAGAUACCCUGGUAGUCCACGCCCUAAACGAUGUCUACUAGUUGUCGGGUCUUAAUUGACUUGGUAACGCAGCUAACGCGUGAAGUAGACCGCCUGGGGAGUACGGUCGCGAAGAUUAAAACGUCAAAAGUGAAAUUGACCGGGCUUGGACGUUAGCGACCGGACGGACACCCGAGGGAGGGUUAAGGGAGG